This 468-nucleotide ribosomal RNA is filed under the name uncultured bacterium. Its description in RNAcentral is "partial 16S ribosomal RNA". It matches the Rfam family "Bacterial small subunit ribosomal RNA", at positions 28 to 507 of the family's 1533-position model. The record is from RNAcentral.
GACGAACGCUGGCGGCGUGCUUAACACAUGCAAGUCGAACGGAAAGGCCCUGCUUUUGUGGGGUGCUCGAGUGGCGAACGGGUGAGUAACACGUGAGUAACCUGCCCUUGACUUUGGGAUAACUUCAGGAAACUGGGGCUAAUACCGGAUAGGAGCUCCUGCUGCAUGGUGGGGGUUGGAAAGUUUCGGCGGUUGGGGAUGGACUCGCGGCUUAUCAGCUUGUUGGUGGGGUAGUGGCUUACCAAGGCUUUGACGGGUAGCCGGCCUGAGAGGGUGACCGGGCACAUUGGGACUGAGAUACGGACCAGACGCCUACGGGAGGCAGCAGUGGGGAAUAUGGCACAAUGGGCGGAAGCCUGAGGCAGCAACGCUGCGUGCGGGAUGACGGGUUUCGGGUUGUAAACCGCUUUCGCCUGUGACGAAGCGUGAGUGACGGUAAUGGGUAAAGAAGCACCGGCUAACUACGUG